GCCAUUUUGGGGUCACGAAGUAUGUGUGAGUGUGUGUUGUACGAAAAGAGUGAGUGAAUAGUAGUAUAAUGCCAGGCUGUUGUGCGGAAAAUUGUCGCAAUCGUGCUGAACAAGGAUUUUGUCUUUUUAGAUUUCCUGCUGACGAAAAACGCAAACAAAUUUGGAUUCAACAUUUCAUUUUGAUGAUUCUUAAUUUGAAAAUAAACGACAGGAUGGAUGACGUAAGUUAAAACCUAAUGCCAUUUUUACAAUUUUUACAAAUAAAAGCAUUAAUGACGUUUUACAAGAUGAAACUGAAUCUUCUAUAAGUGUUUUGCCUGAAGAAAAUGUAAUUGAUCAAAUAAAUAUUCAGCAUAAUAAUCAAUCUGUGCAUGUAGAUGCUAAAACUCAAACUGAAGUAUAUAACAAUGCUGCAUUUAAUACUAUACAAUUUUUUGAUGAAGAAUCUUUGAUGGAACAAUCAAACAAGCAAAUGAAAUUAAAUAUUUAAAAAAGAUAUUAGCUGAAACAAUAAAAAAAAAAUGAACUUGCAUUAAAAUUUAAAAAAGAAUAACUGUUAAGAUUAAACCACAACAAAGUACACAAAAAUUAUAAAAACAAAUAUGUAGUAUUGUUAAAAAGAGUAAAAAAAUAUCAUUUCUGAAAGACUUUGAAUUACGGUUAACUAAUCGAUGAUCAAAUUGGUCUCCAUAAUGCUUGAAAUUGGCUAUGCAAAUAAGAUAUGCUGUUGGAUGGAAAGCAUAUUCAUUUUUAAAGAAGAAUUUGGAAUUACCGUUGCCAUUCUAUUCCACUUUAUGUAGACAUAUUGCUCAACUAGAUUUUAGUCCUGGCGUACUAAAAGAUGUGAUUUCUUUAAUGAAAAAAAAAAGAAACUCACGCAUCUUCACAUCAAUCAGACUGUGUACUUUUAAUGGACGAAAUGGAUAUUUCAAAAGCAUUGGAAUAUGAUGUCAGCACAGGAUCUUUUUUUGGUCAAACAACAUAUAAAGAAGAUACACAGACGUUAAGUUCAAAUGUGAUUGUUUUUAUGCUAAGAGGAUUAAAUGACAAUUGGAAACAAGUUAUUGCGUGACAUCUUACAACGAAAACCUCAGAUGAAAAAGUCAUGUGUGAUGUCAUUUUAGAAAUAAUUAGCUAGAGAUAGAAAAAGUAGGUUACAAAGUACAUGAUCUUGUCUCAGAUAUAGGACCAAAAAACUAAGCUAUAUGGCGAAGAUUAGGUAUGAAAGUGGGCAAACAUAACUAUACAUCUUUCAUACCUCAUCCUAUACGAUCGCAUGAAUUUUUCUACAUAUUUCCCGAUGUUCCUCAUUUAUUGAAAAAUUUACGGUCAGCUUUAAUAAAUAAUCUUAUUAUAAAAGUAGAUUUAAUGAUUGUGCAAUCUAAAGGAUUACCUUGUAAUGAAAUUCGGUUUCGAUAUCUUGAGCAAUUAGAAGAAAUCCAAAGACGUUAUGAAUUAAAACUUGUGCCAAAAAUCACUGUAGAUAGCUUGAAACCGUCGAAUUUUAAUAAAAUGAAUGUUGCAGCCGCAGCUCAUAUAUUUAGUGAAAGAACAGCAGCUGCUUUAGAAACUUUAGUGCAAUUACAAAUUAUGGAACGAGAUGCGUUAACUACAGCUUGGUUUUUGAGAACAGUCAGAUCCUUGACUGUUCUCAAGGUUUGAUGUUAUGAAUGGUAGAUGUCAAAAGAAUGCAAUUACGCUAGGAAAUAAACAGAAAAAAGUCAAUUAUUGAUAAUUUCUUAUAUUUAAUUGAGCAUAUUGUUAU
Monomorium pharaonis (pharaoh ant) is the source of this 1765-nucleotide long non-coding RNA. RefSeq lists it as uncharacterized. The record is from RefSeq and is a predicted model, not a curated record. The transcript is spliced from 5 exons. NCBI's taxonomy places the organism in Eukaryota, Metazoa, Arthropoda, Insecta, Hymenoptera, Formicidae.